RNAcentral lists this ribosomal RNA (596 nucleotides) under Schmidingerella taraikaensis. RNAcentral's name for it is "partial Eukaryotic large subunit ribosomal RNA". It matches the Rfam family "Eukaryotic large subunit ribosomal RNA", at positions 1431 to 1998 of the family's 3401-position model. The record is from RNAcentral. Lineage: Eukaryota; Ciliophora; Spirotrichea; Tintinnida; Rhabdonellidae.
AACGUGCAUUAGUGCAGAUCUUGGUGGUAGUAGCAACUAUUCAAAUGAGAACUUUGAAGACUGAAGCGGAGAAAGGUUCCAUGUGAACAGCAAUUGGACAUGGGUUAGUCGGUCCUAAGAGAUAGCUUAAGUGCGUUCUGAAGUGGGAGUUUUUUUUUGUUAAAAAGUUCCCCGCAUAUCGAAAGGGAAUCAGGUUAAUAUUCCUGAACGAGGAAAGUGGAUGCGUCAUGUGGCAACACAAGGUGUGCUUGGAGACGGCAGCGGUAACCCCGGGAAGAGCUCUCUUUUCUUUUUAACUCUUUCGUCGUUUUACCCUGGAAUUGACUUAGUCAGCGAUAGGGAAAUCAUGCAAGCAAGAGCUAUGCUACUCUAGUAUAGUCCGGUGCGUUUUCGACGUCCCUUGAAAAUCCAAGUGCACGAUAAGUAUAAACACUCCUCGCCGUACUCAUAACCGCAACAGGUCUCCAAGGUGAAAAGCCUCUAGUUGAUAGAACAAUGUAGAUAAGGGAAGUCGGCAAAAUAGAUUCGUAUCUUUGGUAAAAGAAUUGGCUCUGAGGAUUGGGCUUAGGAGUCCUAGUUGUAAGAUUGGGAAGCCU